UAGACUUGGUAAGGAAGCAGGGGAUGGUAAGCAAAUAAGGGGACACUUCAACGACGAGAAUAACGAGAUUAUUGAUAUUUCUGAAUAACGGGAAGAAAGAAUUUUUGGCAGUAGAGGAGGUAUUAAAUUAGCAAAUAAAAAGGGGCCCUGAAACUUUGAAACAGGGCAGCUGGGGUGGAUAAGCGGGUUUUAUCUGUAAGACGUUCUCUAAAACUGUACUAAAAUGAGAAAGAUGUUGGCAGGCCCUGUAGAAAAUGUGUAAUACCGGAUAGAAAGGGAAAGGCAAAUAAAACAAGAAAAAAAAAUGAAAAUGAAAAAUGGCAGGAAGGGAAUUACUACGGACUUGAGGCAUAAUGGGUUCUGAAAGGCAAUCUAGGGGGGGAGAAGUGAGAGGGAAACAAUAUCAUCCAUCCGUCACCUCUCGGAAUAUAGAUAUGAAAACAACCUGAAUGAAGAAAAAAAAAAAGAAGGGGGAACGGGAGGGAGAAGAGGGAAGGGGGAGAGAGAAAUCACAUAAAGUCAUCAUCACCCAAAUCAUCCCCAUCAUACGCCGUGAGAUCAGCGCCG
This 567-nucleotide small RNA is filed under the name Histoplasma capsulatum. RNAcentral describes it as "hypothetical RNA". Lineage: Eukaryota; Fungi; Ascomycota; Eurotiomycetes; Onygenales; Ajellomycetaceae. RNAcentral also lists the same sequence under 1 other name. The record is from RNAcentral.